RNAcentral lists this ribosomal RNA (253 nucleotides) under uncultured bacterium. RNAcentral describes it as "partial 16S ribosomal RNA". It matches the Rfam family "Bacterial small subunit ribosomal RNA", at positions 524 to 776 of the family's 1533-position model. The record is from RNAcentral.
UACGAGUGGUGCAAGCGUUAUUCGGAAUCAUUGGGCGUAAAGGGUGUGUAGACGGCCUGCUAAGUCAACUGUUAAAUUCCCCGGCCUAACCGGGGUCCAGCAGUAGAUACUGGCGAGCUAGAGGGUGGAAGAGAGAGGCGGAAUUCUCGGAGUAGCGGUAAAAUGCGUAGAUCUCGAGAGGAACACCAAUGGCGAAGGCAGCCUCUUGGUCCACAUCUGACGUUGAGACACGAAAGCGUGGGGAGCAAACAGG